This 1282-nucleotide ribosomal RNA is filed under the name metagenome. RNAcentral describes it as "bacterial LSU rRNA". It matches the Rfam family "Bacterial large subunit ribosomal RNA", at positions 1634 to 2925 of the family's 2925-position model. The record is from RNAcentral.
CAGACCGCCCGUACCGCAAACCGACACAGGUGGUCGGGUCGAGAAGACCAAGGUGAGCGAGAGAACUCUCGUUAAGGAACUCGGCAAAAUGACCCCGUAACUUCGGGAGAAGGGGUGCUGAUCGCAAGAUCAGCCGCAGUGAAUAGGCCCAGGCGACUGUUUAUCAAAAACACAGGUUUCUGCAAAAUCGUAAGAUGAAGUAUAGGGGCUGACGCCUGCCCGGUGCUGGAAGGCUAAGAGGAUGGGUUAGCGCAAGCGAAGCUCAGAAUUGAAGCCCCAGUAAACGGCGGCCGUAACGAUAACGGUCCUAAGGUAGCGAAAUUCCUUGUCGGGUAAGUUCCGACCCGCACGAAAGGCGUAACGAUCUGGGCACUGUCUCAACGAGAGACUCGGUGAAAUUAUAAUACCCGUGAAGAUGCGGGUUACCCGCGACAGGACGGAAAGACCCCAUGGAGCUUUACUGUAGCUUGAUAUUGGGUGUUUGUACAACUUGUACAGGAUAGGUAGGAGCCGUAGAAGUCGGGACGCUAGUUUCGACGGAGGCAUCGGUGGGAUACUACCCUCGUUGUAUGAACACUCUAACCCACGCCGGCAAUCACGGCGGGAGACAGUGUCAGGUGGGCAGUUUGACUGGGGCGGUCGCCUCCUAAAAGGUAACGGAGGCGCCCAAAGGUUCCCUCAGAAUGGUUGGAAAUCAUUCGCAGAGUGUAAAGGCAUAAGGGAGCUUGACUGCGAGACCUACAAGUCGAGCAGGGACGGAAGUCGGGCUUAGUGAUCCGGUGGUUCCGCAUGGAAGGGCCAUCGCUCAACGGAUAAAAGCUACCCUGGGGAUAACAGGCUUAUCUCCCCCAAGAGUCCACAUCGACGGGGAGGUUUGGCACCUCGAUGUCGGCUCAUCGCAUCCUGGGGCUGUAGUCGGUCCCAAGGGUUGGGCUGUUCGCCCAUUAAAGCGGUACGCGAGCUGGGUUCAGAACGUCGUGAGACAGUUCGGUCCCUAUCCGUCGCGGGCGCAGGAAAUUUGAGAGGAUCUGUCCUUAGUACGAGAGGACCGGGAUGGACAUACCGCUGGUGUACCAGUUGUUCUGCCAAGGGCAUCGCUGGGUAGCUAUGUAUGGAUGAGAUAAACGCUGAAAGCAUCUAAGUGCGAAACUCACCUCGAGAUAAGAUUUCCCACUCCUUUAUGGAGUUAAGACCCCUGAGAGAUGAUCAGGUAGAUAGGAUGGAAGUGGAAGUGCGGCGACGCAUGGAGCGGGCCAUUACUAAUCGGUCGAGGACUUAAUCG